This is a long non-coding RNA of Vitis vinifera (wine grape), 566 nucleotides long. RefSeq lists it as uncharacterized. Lineage: Eukaryota; Viridiplantae; Streptophyta; Magnoliopsida; Vitales; Vitaceae. The record is from RefSeq and is a predicted model, not a curated record. The transcript has 2 exons.
GGUGUAGCUUAUUAAUAAACGACGAGGAGUACAGAGUCAUAUGGCGACCGCCGUGCUUUGUGGGCCAGCGGCGGUGGGCCACGAGGGAACGCGUUCCCACGAUGGAUCGAAAAUCAGGAAAGAGAUCUUCACACCCAUGUAUCUCUUCUUGGCUCGAAAACCAAGCUCAGACAGGCAGUAAUGUGGCAGCUGGACCCAAUAACCUGCCGUAGGUAUCAAAUCAAGAACUCUCUCUUAGAGCUGGGAAUUGACCGUUCUCGGCUGACUUUUGGCCCUAUGGGGUGUGAAUCGUGACUGCUCGUCUUCUUUCGGUUUCCUGCAAGUUUGAUUGGCUCUCUCACCUUUGGUUAUCAGCUUCGUCUCCCAUUACAAUCUCUUCACGCAUCCAAUGAACGAAUUUUUCUAUCACCUGCUUCAUUCCUUUUUGCCUACCCUGUAUAUUCCCUUACGUGCAUAUAUUAUCUUGUUUUUACUAAGAUGAUGCUUUGGAGUCAUGUGCUGCCAGAUGACAGAAUGUGAUUAAAGCCAGUGGCGUGCUAGUUGUAUGAGAAUAUGUGCGUUGUCUC